This 161-nucleotide ribosomal RNA is filed under the name uncultured bacterium. Its description in RNAcentral is "partial 16S rRNA". It matches the Rfam family "Bacterial small subunit ribosomal RNA", at positions 355 to 511 of the family's 1533-position model. The record is from RNAcentral.
UAGGGAAUCUUCCACAAUGGACGAAAGUCUGAUGGAGCAACGCGCGUGAGUGAGAAGGGUUUCGGCUCGUAAACUCUGUUGUUAAAGAAGAACAUAUCUGAGAGUAACUGUUCAGGUAUUGACGGUAUUUAACCAGAAAGCCACGGCUAACUACGUGCCAC